UCCGGGGUAGCUCAGAGUAGAGCACUUGGCUGCGGACCGAGAGGGCGCUGGUGCAAUCCCAGCCCCCGGAC
RNAcentral lists this transfer RNA (71 nucleotides) under bacterium SCN 62-11. RNAcentral's name for it is "tRNA-Arg". It matches the Rfam family "tRNA". Rfam says of the family: Transfer RNA (tRNA) molecules are approximately 80 nucleotides in length. The record is from RNAcentral.